GACGAACGCUGGCGGCGUGCUUAACACAUGCAAGUCGAACGGAAAGGCCCUGCUUUUGUGGGAUGCUCGAGUGGCGAACGGGUGAGUAACACGUGAGUAACCUGCCCUUGACUUUGGGAUAACUUCAGGAAACUGGGGCUAAUACCGGAUAGGAGCUCCUGCUGCAUGGUGGGGGUUGGAAAGUUUCGGCGGUUGGGGAUGGACUCGCGGCUUAUCAGCUUGUUGGUGGGGUAGUGGCUUACCAAGGCUUUGACGGGUAGCCGGCCUGAGGGGGUGACCGGCCACAUUGGGACUGGGAUACGGCCCAGACUCCUACGGGGGGCAGCAGUGGGGAAUAUGGCACAAUGGGCGGAAGCCUGAUGCAGCAACGCCGCGUGCGGGAUGACGGCCUUCGGGUUGUAAACCGCUUUCGCCUGUGACGAAGCGUGAGUGACGGUAAUGGGUAAAGAAGCACCGGCUAACUACGUG
Molecule: ribosomal RNA, 468 nt
Filed under: uncultured bacterium
Lineage: Bacteria
Description: partial 16S ribosomal RNA
Rfam family: Bacterial small subunit ribosomal RNA
Source: RNAcentral